GGUACGAAAGCGUGGAGAGGAAGCUGCUGCCAAAGAAGAAUGAUCAACAAGUGCUGAUCUCUAUCCAGGAAAUAUAAAUUUACUUCUCUCUUUGUGGAAGCAUUGGAGAAAUUAAAGUAAGAAGAAAAAUAUUUGGUAUUUUCGAUCAUCACUCCAGCUCACGAAUUCUCUUUCCUUGAAAACAAUCAGGAAAUAUCGUCGACGUCCCAGUGAAGUGCAAGGGCAGCGCCGUUGCUGACAAGCCCUGCAUGUGCGGCGUCUGCGCAUCUCGAAGCGCUUCCGCUAGCACCACGAGGACGAGCGCCAGAAGAGGCUCGCCCGAAUGCGCUCCCUCGAGAGCAAGAAGCUAGCGCCAUGGCUAAUGGGACGACAAGAGACAGAAUUGUGCAGGUGGGGGGAGGAUCGGAGGAGACGCGGAUGGAGGAAGAGGCCCGAACGAGAGAUAUUUCAUGGGUCGAACACGUGUGGCGAUACAUACGCGACAUGUUUAUUACUCCUGCUAACGCUACGACGACUCAAAAAACAGUACUUCCAACAAUAAUUGCAUCUAUGGUGUCACUACGACGACUCUGUAAUGCAUUCAAGUUGAUGGAUACAUCAUUCCUUCUAUCGCAGAAUAAAUCCACUGCUGGGGAUCUCGGACUGAUCAUUGGCAAAAAAGCAUCGGCCGUUAAAUGGAUGCGAGAUAGUGAACUCGAUGGACUC
Molecule: long non-coding RNA, 705 nt
Filed under: Elaeis guineensis (African oil palm)
Lineage: Eukaryota; Viridiplantae; Streptophyta; Magnoliopsida; Arecales; Arecaceae
Description: long non-coding RNA (EGUI_LNC000779)
Source: RNAcentral